UGGGGAAUAUUGCACAAUGGGCGCAAGCCUGAUGCAGCCAUGCCGCGUGUAUGAAGAAGGCCUUCGGGUUGUAAAGUACUUUCAGCGGGGAGGAAGGCGUUGUGGUUAAUAACCGCAACGAUUGACGUUACUCGCAGAAGAAGCACCGGCUAACUCCGUGCCAGCAGCCGCGGUAAUACGGCGGGUGCAAGCGUUAAUCGGAAUUACUGGGCGUAAAGCGCACGCAGGCGGUCUGUCAAGUCGGAUGUGAAAUCCCCGGGCUCAACCUGGGAACUGCAUCCGAAACUGGCAGGCUAGAGUCUUGUAGAGGGGGGUAGAAUUCCAGGUGUAGCGGUGAAAUGCGUAGAGAUCUGGAGGAAUACCGGUGGCGAAGGCGGCCCCCUGGACAAAGACUGACGCUCAGGUGCGAAAGCGUGGGGAGCAAACA
This 427-nucleotide ribosomal RNA is filed under the name uncultured bacterium. RNAcentral describes it as "partial 16S ribosomal RNA". It matches the Rfam family "Bacterial small subunit ribosomal RNA", at positions 355 to 774 of the family's 1533-position model. The record is from RNAcentral.